RNAcentral lists this ribosomal RNA (498 nucleotides) under uncultured bacterium. RNAcentral describes it as "partial 16S ribosomal RNA". It matches the Rfam family "Bacterial small subunit ribosomal RNA", at positions 30 to 523 of the family's 1533-position model. The record is from RNAcentral.
AUUGAACGCUGGCGGCAUGCCUUACACAUGCAAGUCGAACGGUAACAGGUCUUCGGAUGCUGACGAGUGGCGAACGGGUGAGUAAUACAUCGGAACGUGCCUAGUAGUGGGGGAUAACUACUCGAAAGAGUAGCUAAUACCGCAUGAGAUCUACGGAUGAAGGCAGGGGAUCGCAAGACCUUGUGCUACUAGAGCGGCCGAUGGCAGAAUAGGUAGUUGGAGGGAUAAAAGCUUACCAAGCCGACGAUCUGUAGCUGGUCUGAGAGGACGAUCAGCCACACUGGGACUGAGACACGGGCCAGACUCCUACGGGAGGCAGCAGUGGGGAAUUUUGGACAAUGGGCGCAAGCCUGAUCCAGCAAUGCCGCGUGCAGGAUGAAGGCCUUCGGGUUGUAAACUGCUUUUGUACGGAACGAAAAGCCCUGGGUUAAUACCCUGGGGUCAUGACGGUACCGUAAGAAUAAGCACCGGCUAACUACGUGCCAGCCGCCGCCGUAA